This 859-nucleotide ribosomal RNA is filed under the name Neobenedenia sp. M07-2296-04. RNAcentral's name for it is "eukaryotic LSU rRNA". It matches the Rfam family "Eukaryotic large subunit ribosomal RNA", at positions 61 to 675 of the family's 3401-position model. The record is from RNAcentral. Lineage: Eukaryota; Metazoa; Platyhelminthes; Monogenea; Capsalidea; Capsalidae.
CAAACUAAACAGGGUUCUCUGAGUAACUGCGAGUGACCAGAGAUUAGCCCAACAUCGAAGCCACCAUGCAUUUGUAUGGGAGGCAAUGUGAUGUUUUGGUGUUUAAACGCACUGUCUGGCUAACUUGAAGUCCAUAUUUGACUGUGGCUUGUAUUUAUACACCUAGAGAUGGUGAUAGGCCCGUUCAGGUUGGUAUUCUGGCAUGACAGUUCAGUGUGUAAUCAUUCAUCAUAGAGUCGGAUUGCUUGAGAGUGCAGUCCAAAAUGGGUGGUAAACUCCAUCUAAGGCUAAAUACCUGUACGAGUCCGAUAGUCAACAAGUACCGUGAGGGAAAGUUGAAAAGUACUCUGAAGAGAGAGUAAAUAGUACGUGAAACCACAUGGAGGUUAAACAAAUAGAGUCAAGCUGCUUGCAUCAUAUCAUUGCAAUAUGCGCAUUUUGUUGCAUGACAUUUGCCGGGACCUGGCGUGUGAUUCUGUCUACUUGUAGGCAUUUGAACAUGUGUUUGUUGUUUGAAAGGUCUCGGUGAGUGUCUGCGCUUAUUGUUCAUGAUGGGUGCUAAUGCCAUAGUCGGUUGUACUACCAGUGCGCAGUAAUCGGCGAUUGUGCGGGCUGACUUAUUGUCGUUCGUGCAAUCAGUGAAACAGUUGGCAACAGUGUGUGCUUGCAUUCGCUUUUGUCAAAGAAGGCCACGGCCUGUUGAUUACUGUGAACAUUGUGAGAGUCGACCGUUCAUAUGUGCUCAUAUAAUUUGUGGUAGUAAGUCGACUUGUCGACUACUUCCAUAAAUAAGCUUAUGAGCUAUGGUAUUGUGGUAGACUUUCUAUUUGACCCGUCUUGAAACACGGACCAAGGAGUU